RNAcentral lists this non-coding RNA (198 nucleotides) under Enterococcus saccharolyticus. RNAcentral's name for it is "T-box sequence". It matches the Rfam family "T-box leader". Rfam says of the family: Uncharged tRNA acts as the effector for transcription antitermination of genes in the T-box leader family. T-boxes are found upstream of many aminoacyl-tRNA synthetase genes and some amino acid biosynthetic genes usually in Gram-positive bacteria. The record is from RNAcentral. Lineage: Bacteria; Bacillati; Bacillota; Bacilli; Lactobacillales; Enterococcaceae.
AUAAACACAGUGAACAGACGAAGUACAAGUGCCCUUUUUUAAAGAGAGAUUGCGGGUGGUGAAAGCAAUCAUUAAGGACUUGGAAAUGCACCUGGGAGUGGCUUUGGUAAAAACCAAAGACGGCAAAGCCCGUUACGCUUAGAUGAGGCAGAGAGAUUCUGCAAAUAAAAGUGGAACCACGCCCAAAGCGUCUUUUAA